RNAcentral lists this long non-coding RNA (713 nucleotides) under Trifolium pratense (red clover). RNAcentral describes it as "long non-coding RNA (TPRA_LNC000048)". The record is from RNAcentral. Lineage: Eukaryota; Viridiplantae; Streptophyta; Magnoliopsida; Fabales; Fabaceae.
AGAAAAUAGGAAGAGGAGGAGGAUCGGACCUUGCUGAGGAGGAACGCCGACGGGCGGUUGUUGUUGGUUGUAGUAACUCAUCUUUUGGCAGACGAAGAUGAAGGUUAGUUUGUAGCAGCAGCGAUGGAUCUGUUUUGUUUUGUUUUGUUUAGCGAGAAUAUAGAGAUACUAGUAGUAGUAUAUGAAUAUGAUCAAUUUAUUCCUUUACAUAUAUAGUAUCUAAUUAUUAUUUCAUUUAAAUAUAGUUUAUUAUUGACGCCUCUUUGGGCUUUUUGUGGGGUGUGGCUUCUGUCAUGGACUUGGAGGUUGUAACCGAGGAAAACUAACCUUUUUAAUUUGUUUUUCUUUUCCAAAAACAAAUAAUAUCUAGAAGGAGAAAAAUCUAGAAAAUAAAUUAGUUUUCUUUUUUUAAAAAAUAAGAUGGAAAAAAUUGGAAAUUUGAUAAGUGCCAAACAUUAGUAAAAUUACAGGUUAAAUUUAGGCACUUAUUAACUUGUUUUGAAAAAAAUCUUAAGUAAAUUCUUCCCUUUUGUGUAAAUAUUGUUCUUAAUCAAAAUAUAUCAAAUGCAUUUAAACCCAACUAUGUUGAUAGGUUUUGUUGAAUAAAAGAAAGGUUUUUGAAGUUUUGAAGUAUUCGCUCAACGAACAAUGGCGAGCAUUGGCGAGCAAAGUCAGUUCAACAAGGGUUCGUGGCAAGCAAUAGCGAAGCAACA